RNAcentral lists this ribosomal RNA (666 nucleotides) under Lyophyllum turcicum. RNAcentral's name for it is "eukaryotic LSU rRNA". The stretch from base 262 to 415 matches the Rfam family "5.8S ribosomal RNA". The record is from RNAcentral. Lineage: Eukaryota; Fungi; Basidiomycota; Agaricomycetes; Agaricales; Lyophyllaceae.
ACCUGCGGAAGGAUCAUUAUUGAAUAAACUUGGUUGGGUUGCUGCUGGCUCUUCGGAGCAUGUGCACGCCUAGCACCAUCUUUUACCACCUGUGCACCUUUUGUAGACAUGGAAUAUCUCUCGAGGAAACUCGGUUUGAGGGGGCCUGCUGUGUGAAAAAGCCAGCUUUCCCUGGUGUUCCUAGUUUACGUCUUCAUAUACACCCCAUGAAUGUAACAGAAUGUCAUUAAAUUGGCCUUUGUGCCUUUAUAAAUCAAAUACAACUUUCAACAACGGAUCUCUUGGCUCUCGCAUCGAUGAAGAACGCAGCGAAAUGCGAUAAGUAAUGUGAAUUGCAGAAUUCAGUGAAUCAUCGAAUCUUUGAACGCACCUUGCGCUCCUUGGUAUUCCGAGGAGCAUGCCUGUUUGAGUGUCAUUAAAUUCUCAACCUUUCCAACUUUUGUUAGCUGGUCAGGCUUGGAUUGUGAGGGUUGCGGGCUUCUCGGAAGUCAGCUCUCUUUAAAUGCAUUAGCGAAACCUUUGUUGAAUUAGCUCUGGUGUGAUAAUUAUCUACGCCAUUGUGAAACAACCUACCAUAGGGUUUGGCUUCUAAUCGUCCUUUUGGGACAAGUUUUUGACAAUUUGACCUCAAAUCAGGUAGGACUACCCGCUGAACUUAAGCAUAUC